RNAcentral lists this ribosomal RNA (413 nucleotides) under Mycobacterium avium complex sp. RNAcentral's name for it is "bacterial SSU rRNA". It matches the Rfam family "Bacterial small subunit ribosomal RNA", at positions 90 to 505 of the family's 1533-position model. Lineage: Bacteria; Bacillati; Actinomycetota; Actinomycetes; Mycobacteriales; Mycobacteriaceae. The record is from RNAcentral.
CUCGAGUGGCGAACGGGUGAGUAACACGUGGGCAAUCUGCCCUGCACUUCGGGAUAAGCCUGGGAAACUGGGUCUAAUACCGGAUAGGACCUUUAGACGCAUGUCUUUUGGUGGAAAGCUUUUGCGGUGUGGGAUGGGCCCGCGGCCUAUCAGCUUGUUGGUGGGGUGAUGGCCUACCAAGGCGACGACGGGUAGCCGGCCUGAGAGGGUGUCCGGCCACACUGGGACUGAGAUACGGCCCAGACUCCUACGGGAGGCAGCAGUGGGGAAUAUUGCACAAUGGGCGCAAGCCUGAUGCAGCGACGCCGCGUGGGGGAUGACGGCCUUCGGGUUGUAAACCUCUUUCACCAUCGACGAAGGUCCGGGUUUUCUCGGAUUGACGGUAGGUGGAGAAGAAGCACCGGCCAACUACG